UUUAGAGAGAGAGAAAGAUGGAGAGAGAGAGAGCGAGCGUGCGGACAAGAGAGUAAAUAAAAGAAAUUUAGGGGAGAAGGUUCUGAGUGGCAGAAGAUGCCUGGACACAGAAAAGCCGGUGCAGAUGGGAAGAGGGAGACCCAAAGAGAGAUAGGUGGAGAGAGCCUGACUGGGAGAGACCCCGGGAACGAGAGACAGACAGAGACUGAGGAGGCAUCAGAAGGAAGCUGGAGGAAAACAGGAGAGGGGCCAGGCUCCGAUGGAUGAAGGAGGAGCAAACCGCCCUGCUCCAGAGGGGCCAUGUGGUGAAGACCUGAGCAUGGCAUCUGCCAGUGAGAGCACAGAGGCAUCAGCCCUGCGACCACAAAUCCUGAGUGUGCGUUCUCCCAGGUGCUUGGGCUGUCUCGUCAACAACAGCUGGGCCUUUGUGUUUUCUCAAGAGGAACAGAGUGGUGGUGGCGUGCUUUCCCGCUGUACCAGGAAGAGAUCAGCGUUUCUAAAACGUCCUCAUUCGGGGUGAAGUGGAAAUAUUCCAGUGCUGAGGAAUCAGGGCACCUGGGAUGCCUGGGUGGCUGUUGGUUAAGUGUCU
This is a long non-coding RNA of Suricata suricatta (meerkat), 589 nucleotides long. RefSeq lists it as uncharacterized. Lineage: Eukaryota; Metazoa; Chordata; Mammalia; Carnivora; Herpestidae. The record is from RefSeq and is a predicted model, not a curated record. The transcript is spliced from 4 exons.